CCUGAGAGCAUAGUGGUAGAGCGUCUCCUUGCCAAGGAGAAUGUCGAGAGUUCGAAUCUCUUCAUCCGCU
RNAcentral lists this transfer RNA (70 nucleotides) under Thalassoporum mexicanum PCC 7367. RNAcentral describes it as "Pseudanabaena sp. PCC 7367 tRNA-Gly". The stretch from base 7 to 62 matches the Rfam family "tRNA", at positions 9 to 63 of the family's 71-position model. From Rfam's summary of the family: Transfer RNA (tRNA) molecules are approximately 80 nucleotides in length. Their secondary structure includes four short double-helical elements and three loops (D, anti-codon, and T loops). Further hydrogen bonds mediate the characteristic L-shaped molecular structure. tRNAs have two regions of fundamental functional importance: the anti-codon, which is responsible for specific mRNA codon recognition, and the 3' end, to which the tRNAs corresponding amino acid is attached (by aminoacyl-tRNA synthetases). tRNAs cope with the degeneracy of the genetic code in two manners: having more than one tRNA (with a specific anti-codon) for a particular amino acid; and 'wobble' base-pairing, i.e. permitting non-standard base-pairing at the 3rd anti-codon position. Lineage: Bacteria; Bacillati; Cyanobacteriota; Cyanophyceae; Pseudanabaenales; Thalassoporaceae. The record is from RNAcentral.